Molecule: ribosomal RNA, 443 nt
Filed under: uncultured bacterium
Lineage: Bacteria
Description: partial 16S ribosomal RNA
Rfam family: Bacterial small subunit ribosomal RNA
Source: RNAcentral
CCUACGGGCGACAGCAGUGGGGAAUAUUGGGCAAUGGAGGCAACUCUGACCCAGCAACGCCGCGUGAAUGAUGAAGGUCUUCGGAGUGUAAAGUUCUUUUCUAAGGGAAGAAGAAAGUGACGGUACCUUAGGAAUAAGCCUCGGCUAACUACGUGCCAGCAGCCGCGGUAAUACGUAGGAGGCAAGCGUUAUCCGGAAUGACUGGGCGUAAAGGGUGCGUAGGUGGUUUGACAAGUUAGUAGCGCAACUCCGGGGCUCAACUUCGGAACUACUACUAAAACUGUUGGACUUGAGUGCAGGAGGGGCAAUCGGAAUGCCUAGUGUAGCGGUGGAAUGCGUAGAUAUUAGGAGGAACACCAGUGGCGAAGGCGGAUUGCUAGACUGUAACUGACACUGAGGCACGAAAGCGUGGGGAGCAAACAGGAUUAGAUACCCCUGUAGUC